GUUAAUGAAAGAACUCCGGAGAAGUUUAAUGGCUUCUGACAGAAAAUGGGUGUGCAGACCCUUUUAAAGGCAUUAUUACAUCAUUGAAGAAAAUCAAGAUAUAGACAAAUAGACAUUGUUAAUUGGCUUAGGUGCUAAGAUGUUAGUAAAAUGCCCUCCCCAUUCUUAGGUCACUAUCCAUAUCAUUUCUCAACUCCUACAGGUUUUAGCGCCAUUUUGCUAACAUGAGGAGCUCACUCGACGGGAGGGGCCUUUUGGCAGCUAUCCAUUUAGAGCGUAGCUGGCACUUGUUAGUUUCUCAAGGUUAAGUUUCAAGGAUUUUAGUAAAUACACAUUUUAUCAAAGCUAUUUCUUGCUGACAUGCAAAUUCUAUGUUCUAUAGACAAAGCUUUCUUGUAAAACUAUG
This is a non-coding RNA of Pelobates cultripes (western spadefoot toad), 406 nucleotides long. The record is from the annotation of a GenBank genome assembly. NCBI's taxonomy places the organism in Eukaryota, Metazoa, Chordata, Amphibia, Anura, Pelobatidae.